This 1242-nucleotide ribosomal RNA is filed under the name metagenome. RNAcentral's name for it is "bacterial LSU rRNA". It matches the Rfam family "Bacterial large subunit ribosomal RNA", at positions 1564 to 2814 of the family's 2925-position model. The record is from RNAcentral.
UGAGUACGAGAUGCUACGGCAUCGAAGCAGUGUAUGUCAUACUUCCAAGAAAAGCUCGCAAUGUCAUAAACAAAUAAUGCCUGUACCAUAACCGACACAGGUGGGUAGGUAGAGUAUACUAAGGGGCGCGAGAUAACUCUCUCUAAGGAACUCGGCAAAAUGACUCCGUAACUUCGGGAGAAGGAGUGCCUUAUUUUUGUAAGGUUGCAAUAACAAGAUCCAAGCAACUGUUUACCAAAAACACAGGUCUCCGCUAAGUCGUAAGACGAUGUAUGGGGGCUGACGCCUGCCCAGUGCCAGAAGGUUAAAGAAGUUGGUUAGCAUUAGCGAAGCUGAUAACUGAAGCCCUGGUGAACGGCGGCCGUAACUAUAACGGUCCUAAGGUAGCGAAAUUCCUUGUCGGGUAAGUUCCGACCCGCACGAAAGGCGUAAUGAUUUGGAUACUGUCUCGGAGAGGGGCUCGGUGAAAUAGACUUGUCUGUGAAGAUGCGGACUACCUGCACCUGGACAGAAAGACCCUAUGAAGCUUUACUGUAACUUGAGAUUGAAAUUGGACUUUAUCUGCGCAGUAUAGGUGGGAGACGUUGAUAUUAUUCUUGCGGGAAUAUUGGAGUCAUCAGUGAGAUACCACUCUUAUAAUGUUAGAUUUCUAACUUUGUAUCAUUAUCUGGUCAAAGAACAGUUUCAGGCGGGCAGUUUGACUGGGGCGGUCGCCUCCCAAACGGUAACGGAGGCGCACAAAGGUUUCCUCUGAACUGUAGAAAUCGUAUCUAGAGUGUAAAGGCAUAAGGAAGCUUGACUGUGAGACCUACAAGUCGAGCAGGGACGAAAGUCGGUCUUAGUGAUCUGACGGUGCUGAGUGGAAAGGCCGUCACUCAACGGAUAAAAGUUACUCUAAGGAUAACAGGCUGAUCUCCCCCAAGAGUUCACAUCGACGGGGAGGUUUGGCACCUCGAUGUCGGCUCAUCGCAUCCUGGGGCGGUAGUACGUCCCAAGGGUUGGGCUGUUCGCCCAUGAAAGCGGUACGCGAGCUGGGUUCAGAACGUCGUGAGACAGUUCGGUCCAUAUCCGGUGUAGGCGUUAGAAUAUUGAGAGGAGCCUUCUUUAGUACGAGAGGACCGAGAAGGACAUACCUCUGGUGUACCAGUUAUCGUGCCAACGGUAAACGCUGGGUAGCUAUGUAUGGAGAGGAUAACCGCUGAAAGCAUCUAAGUGGGAAGCCCACCUCAAGAUAAGUAUUCU